This is a non-coding RNA of Phrynosoma platyrhinos (Desert horned lizard), 72 nucleotides long. The record is from the annotation of a GenBank genome assembly. Lineage: Eukaryota; Metazoa; Chordata; Lepidosauria; Squamata; Phrynosomatidae.
GUCAGCAUGGCAUAGUGGUUUGGGUGCUGGACUACAACUCUAGAGACCAAGGUUCAAAUUCUUACUCAGCCA